This 253-nucleotide ribosomal RNA is filed under the name uncultured bacterium. RNAcentral's name for it is "partial 16S ribosomal RNA". It matches the Rfam family "Bacterial small subunit ribosomal RNA", at positions 524 to 776 of the family's 1533-position model. The record is from RNAcentral.
UACGUAGGGGGCUAGCGUUGUCCGGAAUCAUUGGGCGUAAAGCGCGUGUAGGCGGUCCGGUAAGUCCGCUGUGAAAGUCGGGGGCUCAACCCUCGGAUGCCGGUGGAUACUGUCGGGCUCGAGUACGGAAGAGGCGAGUGGAAUUCCUGGUGUAGCGGUGAAAUGCGCAGAUAUCAGGAGGAACACCAAUUGCGAAGGCAGCUCGCUGGGACGUUACUGACGCUGAGACGCGAAAGCGUGGGGAGCAAACAGG